AAUAAUUCAACCAUUUCAUUAAUACAAAGGACUCCGCCUUUACUAUACAACAAAUGCCUAUAACAGUGGUCGGAAGCAUGAAAAUCACAGCAAUGGCCUUUGAGGAUGACCUACCUUGUACUACUAAGCAGCUCGUGGGAUGGGAUGUGUACAAAUAUAAAAAUCUUAUAAGAAUUUUGUGAUCUUUCUGGACUUAAAGUACAGCCCCAAAAAUGCCAGGGGUUCAUGAUAAAUCCAACUCAUGACUCAUACACAAUUAACAUUUGUGAAAGCUGGAAAACUGAGGGAACCAAAUUGAACAUGAUUCAGCCUGGCACAAAAGAGAAAUACCUGGGAGUCCAUAUAGAUUCCUGGACAACAUUUGCUGAGGUCAACUUUGAAGACAAAAUUGAAGAUUGAUUGAACAAAUUAGAAGCUGCACCCCUGAAACCUUCCCCAAAAUUGGAAUUAUUAAAUAUAUUUACAAUCCCAAGGAUAAUAUACCUCGCUGACCACACUGACUGUAAAUUAUCUCAACUGAGCGGUUUCGACAGCAAAAUCCAAGGUAGACUAAAACAAUGGCUCCAUUUCCCACCCAAUACAUGUUAUGGCCUCUUCUAUUCAAAGAACAGAGACAGUGGACUAGGUAUUCCCAGACUAGAAUGAUUUUUCCAUCUGUCCAAGCUAGAAGACAUCAUAGAAUAAGCCAGUCUUCAGAUUACAUAAUCAGAAAUAUCUCAUUCUCCUGUGGUCUGCAACAGGAAUUCCAAAAGAAAUAGCUGUUAGCAGGGGGUAGUGAAGACUCCCUACCUGACAUCACAGAAAGUAUCCCACCUCCACCCAAGCCCAAGUAUUAUGAAAAACUCAAUGAAUGAGAGAAACCAAAACUCAAAAUAAAAUACCCCAUGCCCCUUAACUGGAGGACCAAAGUGUUCAAACAAUGGAUGAACAUUUAGUGCCAGGGAUCUGGGAUACUUCAUUUCCAAAAUGACAUAAUUAGUAACAAUUGGCUAAAGAGAUACAAAGGAAUAACUAAGAAACAGUUCAUCACUGCAUGAAAAUUGAGAGCUAAUGUGUACCCAGCACGUGAGUACUUGGGAAGAAGGACCCGCAGCGCCAUCACGUCUUGUAGGCAUUGAGUGCUAAGUAUGAAACCUGUUCACACAACCUAGGGCAAUGUCCAGCAAUACAGCAUGCUAGAAUUAAGUGGCACAACAAACUGUGUACUCUGCUAAAGGUUGAGGCUAGAAAGCUAAAGUGGGAGAUAUACGAUGAGCUACACCUACACACAGAAUCAGGGGAACAUAGGAAACCAGAUAGCAUCUUUCCUAAAGAUAAAACAGCACGGGUGGAAGAUGUCACAGUAAGAUAUGAAUCUAAAGCUGACUGCCUCCAGAAAGCAGCAAGGGAGAAGACAUCCUAUUAUAGUAACCUAACCAGGCAAAUAAAAGAUCUCACACAAGCGGAGAAGGUAAUAUACUUUGGAUUUCCAAUGGGUGCCAGAGGUAAAUGGCUCCCAGACAACGGCAAAUUACUAUUUUCACUGGGACUUGAAGAGAAUAAAACUAAGAGAUUAUCAAAAUUCUUCAGUCAGAGACUCCUGUACUCUGCGAACAUGGUAUCCAUAUUUGCCAAUAUAGGAAAAACGCAGCAGGCAUACUUCAUAAACUCUAACUUAUAGAGAUAUGCCAGGGACUCCGAAUAUAAAAAAAAACACUACAUAAAACAGAGAGUUUAGAAUGUUAUAUUUACAAGUUGUAAUAAAUUAAAAGAAUGUUAACAUAAAGUUGUAAAGAUGUUAAUAAAAGUUUGUAUCUUUUUCACCCUACCUCCCAUCCUGCACUAUCAUGUUCCUUCCGGGAAUCUCAUAAUCAUUACGAUAUUCAUGACAGUUGUCACCUGGAUUCGUCCAGUAGAUUGAAUGCGACAUUAUGGCUGUGGACAAGGAACAGAUAGAUAAGGGUUGGACGGGCCACCCGCAGACCUCCCUGGCCCCAAAUAACUCAAAAUAGACACCCCUUUGGGGCAUGUAAAUAAAUAGUCAAAUGCCUCAUCAUGCGUGAUGCGCACGCGAGUGGAUGAACGAGAUUCCCACUGUCCCUACCUACUAGCUAAUGAAACCACAGCCAAGGGAAUGGUCUUGGUGGAAUCAGUGAGGAAAGAAGACCCUGUUGAGCUUGACUCUAGUCUGGCACUGCAAAGAGACAUGAGAGGUGUAGAAUAAGUGAGAGGCCCGCCCGGGCCAUCAAUGAAAUACCACUACUCUUAUAGUUUUUUCACUUACCUGGUGAGGCAGGGGGGUGAUCCCCGAUGGGCUCUAGCUUCUGGCUCCAAGCGCCAGGUGCACACCGUGAACAACCCGCCGCAGGUACAGUGUCAGGUAGGAAAUUUCACUGGGGUGGUACACCUGUCAAACCGUAACACAGGUGUCCUAAGGCGAACUUAGGGAGGACAGAAACCGCCCUUGGAGCAGAAGGGCAAAAGCUCACUUGAUCUUGAUUUUCAGUAUGAAUACAGAUUGUGAAAGCAGGGCCUCACGAUCCUUCUGAUGUUUUGGGUUUUAAGCAGGAGGUGUCAGAAAAGUUAGCACAUGGAUAACUGGCUUGUGCCAGCCAAGCGUUCAUAGCGACGUCGUUUUUUGAUCCUUCAAUGUCAGCUCUUCCUAUCAUUGUGAAGCAGAGUUCACCAAGCAUUGGAUUGUUCACCCACUAAUAGGGAAUGUGAUCUGGGUUUAGACCGUCGUGAGGCACGUUAGUUUUACCCUACUGAUGAUGUGUUGUUGCAAUAGUAAUCCUGCUCAGUACGAGAGGAACCACAGGUUCAGAAAUUUGGUGUAUGUGCUUGGCUGAGGAGUCAAUGGGGCAAAGCUAUCAUAUGUGAGAUCAUGACUGAAUGCCUCUACAUCAGAAUCCCCCCUAAACAUAAUGAUACCACAGCGUAUGAUACCAUACCUCGGUUGUUCUUGGAUAGCCGGGCCUGCCCUCCUGUGUGUGUGUGUGUGACCUGGUGGUUAGAGUCAUCCAUAUCGGGAGUGGAGCAUGGCCGGAAGGGGGUCGCCUCUCUCCCAUAGCACAGCACACGUUCGUGGGGCACCCGGCGCUAAAUCAUUAGUAGACAACCUGAUUCUGGGUCAGGGUUUCAUAUGUAGCAGAGCAGCUCCCUCACAGCAAUCUAUUGAAAGUCAGUCCUUGACACAAGCUUUUAUCUUGGGCC
This 3192-nucleotide ribosomal RNA is filed under the name Sphenodon punctatus (tuatara). RNAcentral's name for it is "eukaryotic LSU rRNA". The stretch from base 1757 to 3182 matches the Rfam family "Eukaryotic large subunit ribosomal RNA", at positions 1891 to 3399 of the family's 3401-position model. The record is from RNAcentral. Lineage: Eukaryota; Metazoa; Chordata; Lepidosauria; Sphenodontia; Sphenodontidae.